GUUUUAUUUUUCUUUACAGUUGGAUAUUACAUAUGUGAAGUCACAGUCAGAUGAAAUAAAAGACACUUGUAUGGAAAAGUAUCUCUGGAGGGAUUCAAAACUGCAAUGCGAAUAUAAAACCCAUUAGACCACUGAGACCUACGGGGCAUAUGUCAAGAUCCGGAUUUCUACUAUAUGAAACACAGUCCUGUGUACUAAAGUAGGGCUUCUUUAUGUCGUCCGUUCGUUUGCCCGUUAACCUACACCCAUCCCUCUGUACUCCCCCUCCCCCCUCGCAAAAAUAAAAAACAGCAUUGUAUAAAAUUUGAUCAAAUCUGUAAUGGACAACCUGGCUAGGUUGGACUACCCGGUUUGACAGUACUACCCCGGCUAAUCUAAUGUGUCAAAUUUCUGGCCCUUACGAGGUCGGUUAUCUUAUAUCUACGGGUGAAUUUUUUUUUUUCCAGGCACACAGGGACACAACCCUGGCUCAGUCCUGUUUAGUACCCAGCUAUGGCCCAGGUGCGUAGGGGGAGGGACUACAAUUGACAAGUGCAUAAAUGUAUUUUAUUGACUGUAUAGGCAGUAAGCUUAUUGUACAGCAUGUUCACAAUACCUUACUGUUCAUUCGUUGAUUGAAUUUAUCAUUAAUUGAAUGAUGUUUUGUCUAUUUAUGUAAAUGCAACUUUUAUUGUAAGGCAUUUGAAACUGAAUAAAGAAAGACAGAAAGAUAACAUUUAUGAAAAA
This is a long non-coding RNA of Anneissia japonica, 726 nucleotides long. RefSeq lists it as uncharacterized. The transcript is spliced from 2 exons. Lineage: Eukaryota; Metazoa; Echinodermata; Crinoidea; Comatulida; Comatulidae. The record is from RefSeq and is a predicted model, not a curated record.